This 219-nucleotide long non-coding RNA is filed under the name Lathyrus oleraceus (garden pea). RNAcentral's name for it is "Pisum sativum (pea) long non-coding RNA (PSAT_LNC016399)". The record is from RNAcentral. Lineage: Eukaryota; Viridiplantae; Streptophyta; Magnoliopsida; Fabales; Fabaceae.
UCAUUGUCAGGUAGCCCAAGAGAAAGUCGUGUGUGUGCAAUUGUGCCCUAAACUAGAAAGCACAUAAAAGAUUACAAGUCUUAAAUUCUUGACCGCUCCUUCCAUGUUAGGGUUGAAUAUUUGUCCAAUUCCUUUUGCAAGGGUCCUAACAACAAUCUCUAAGUCCAUUCCAAUGUCCAUUACAUGCUCGGGAAUUAUCUUAUUUUUUUGGUAUUUUUU